ACCUACGGGGGGCAGCAGUAGGGAAUCUUCCACAAUGGGCGAAAGCCUGAUGGAGCAGCGCCGCGUGGGUGAAGAAGGUCUUCGGAUCGUAAAACCCUGUUGUUAGAGAAGAAAGUGCGUGAGAGUAACUGUUCACGUUUCGACGAUAUCUAACCAGAAAGCCACGGCUAACUACGUGCCAGCAGCCGCGGUAAUACGUAGGUGGCAAGCGUUAUCCGGAUUUAUUGGGCGUAAAGGGAACGCAGGCGGUCUUUUAAGCCUGAUGUGAAAGCCUUCGGCUUAACCGGAGUAGUGCAUUGGAAACU
This 305-nucleotide ribosomal RNA is filed under the name uncultured bacterium. Its description in RNAcentral is "bacterial SSU rRNA". It matches the Rfam family "Bacterial small subunit ribosomal RNA", at positions 337 to 634 of the family's 1533-position model. The record is from RNAcentral.